Molecule: ribosomal RNA, 497 nt
Filed under: uncultured bacterium
Lineage: Bacteria
Description: partial 16S ribosomal RNA
Rfam family: Bacterial small subunit ribosomal RNA
Source: RNAcentral
GAUGAACGCUGGCGGCGUGCCUAAUACAUGCAAGUCGAGCGAACAGAUAAGGAGCUUGCUCCUUUGACGUUAGCGGCGGACGGGUGAGUAACACGUGGGUAACCUACCUAUAAGACUGGGAUAACUUCGGGAAACCGGAGCUAAUACCGGAUAACAUUUGGAACCGCAUGGUUCUAAAGUGAAAGAUGGUUUUGCUAUCACUUAUAGAUGGACCCGCGCCGUAUUAGCUAGUUGGUAAGGUAACGGCUUACCAAGGCGACGAUACGUAGCCGUCCUGAGAGGGUGAUCGGCCACACUGGAACUGAGACACGGUCCAGACUCCUACGGGAGGCAGCAGUAGGGAAUCUUCCGCAAUGGGCGAAAGCCUGACGGAGCAACGCCGCGUGAGUGAUGAAGGGUUUCGGCUCGUAAAACUCUGUUAUUAGGGAAGAACAAAUGUGUAAGUAACUGUGCACGUCUUGACGGUACCUAAUCAGAAAGCCACGGCUAACUACGUG